RNAcentral lists this transfer RNA (76 nucleotides) under Candidatus Babelota bacterium. Its description in RNAcentral is "tRNA-Gly". It matches the Rfam family "tRNA". Rfam says of the family: Transfer RNA (tRNA) molecules are approximately 80 nucleotides in length. The record is from RNAcentral.
GCGGGAAUAGCUCAGCUGGUAGAGCAUUGCCUUCCCAAGGCAAGGGUCGCGGGUUCGAAUCCCGUUUCCCGCUCCA